GGGAAGUUGGCUCAGUGGUAGAGUGCUUGCCUAGCAUGCAUGAGGCCCUUGGUUUGAUUCCAGCACCACAUA
RNAcentral lists this transfer RNA (72 nucleotides) under Dipodomys ordii (Ord's kangaroo rat). It matches the Rfam family "tRNA". From Rfam's summary of the family: Transfer RNA (tRNA) molecules are approximately 80 nucleotides in length. Their secondary structure includes four short double-helical elements and three loops (D, anti-codon, and T loops). The record is from Rfam by way of RNAcentral. Lineage: Eukaryota; Metazoa; Chordata; Mammalia; Rodentia; Heteromyidae.